ACUGUCAUUUCUAUCUCCACCAGAGCUAGGCAUGUAGGGCUAAAAGCUGAGAACGCCAAGACAUCUUCUGCAGCUCCUCUCUCUGUGCCUUGGAUGACCCUCCCAGCUACAAAUUCUAGGCAGUCUGUUCUGCUUGGGCAGGUGUUACUUUGUUCUCAAGCCCAUCACACCAUGCAGACAUCACCUUCUCCUUCUGGAGACUAGCACAUCCUUCAGGGAGCUGGAACCAGUUGUGAACUGAAGGAUGCCAAGCAUCUGCUGAACAGCAAGAAAACAGUCAAACUGGUGAAAACUGCAGCUCGACAUGGCACGGGGGGAGGACCCCAGAAUCGGAAGGCAGGAGGCCUGGUGCCGGCUUUCACUCUGUUACUGACUCAGUUAUCCACUCACUCACACUUUCAACAACAUGUAUCAAGCACUUCUGUGUUCAGGCACUGGUCUAAGUCCUGCAGAUGUAUUGGUGACAAGACCCUAGCUCUUCUGGGACUUACCAUCCGGAAAAGAGUCAGACACACAGAGAGGAAAAUACAUAUGAGAGAAUAGGUUGAUGUCAUAGGGAAUGACUGGAUGGGCUACCUCAGUUUUGAGGUCAGGAAGGGCCUCUCUGAGUACUGACAUUUCAGCUGAAGUGUGAGUUACUAAUCUAAAAAGGAAACAGUCAUUCAAGGAUCCUGAGGAAGGGCAUUCCAGGAUGAACAGCUGGUGAAAAAGUCCUAAGGUGGAAAUAGAUAGCAGGUUUUCACGGGACAAAAAGACUAGUAUUGCUUGAGUGGAGAGAUGAGUGGUAAGUGAUUUGAAAUGACUUUGAAGAGGUAGGCAGAAGCCAUGUAACCUCUUGCUUUAAGGAAUUUGGACUUUAUUUCGAGUACAAUGGGAAAGCAUGGUGCCGGGGGCCAGCGUGAGGAACUCCACCCAUGGCCAAGGUCAUGAGGAAGGAGGCUUCGGCAUAUGCAAA
Long non-coding RNA from Capra hircus (goat), 955 nucleotides. RefSeq lists it as uncharacterized. The transcript is spliced from 3 exons. The record is from RefSeq and is a predicted model, not a curated record. Lineage: Eukaryota; Metazoa; Chordata; Mammalia; Artiodactyla; Bovidae.